This 591-nucleotide long non-coding RNA is filed under the name Homo sapiens (human). RNAcentral's name for it is "HSALNT0292035". Lineage: Eukaryota; Metazoa; Chordata; Mammalia; Primates; Hominidae. The record is from RNAcentral.
CAAAGCCGGACGAAAGGGAGCUGCUGUUUGUAUAAUGGGACGGUGCUCUGUUCAGGGAGUUGGAGUUCCUGUAAGGCCGUCGGAGGGAACCCCUGAGUUACAACGUGGUGAUGGCACCUUGGGCUAGUGGCGACCCACUGUGGCCUCAGUUUUCCCAAUUAUCCCUGAACUGAGGAGGCAAGAUCAGUUUGGCAGUUGAAGCAGCUGGAAUCUGCAAUUCAGAGAAUCUAAGAAAAGACAACCCUGAAGAGAGAGACCCAGAAACCUAGCAGGAGUUUCUCCAAACAUUCAAGGCUGAGGGAUAAAUGUUACAUGCACAGGGUGAGCCUCCAGAGGCUUGUCCAUUAGCAACUGCUACAGUUUCAUUAUCUCAGGGAUCACAGAUUGUGCUACCUAUUGCCUACCAUCUGAAAACAGUUGCUUCCUAUAUUUCAUCCAGUUUAAUAUUUAUUUAAACCAAGAAGGUUAAUCUGGCACCAGCUAUUCCGUUGUGAGUGGAUGUGAAAGUACCAAUUCCAUUCUGUUUUACUAUUAACUAUCCUUUGCCUUAAUAUGUAUCAGUAGGUGGCUUGUUGCUAGGAAAUAUUAAAU